GAAUCAUCAGCAUCCUUCUCCUAUCCAGAAAAAGAAACGAAGUCUUUUAUAAAUAAUAUAGCUAUGGCUUCCUCCGCUUUCACCCUUGCUUUGCCCAGCUUAGGGUCAUCUCCAUCACCCUUCAACGGUCGUGCUCAUGUUGGACUUCCUCCCGUUCUUAAAGCUCGCAAAACCCCGAUCGUCAGCUCAUCCAAACUUCACAGUACCCUCAAGAAACAUGAGGUUGUUGACUCGGAGAGAGGUGAUGCCGGCAUUCCUCCCUUCUGGUUAACCCUCGUUGGCAAGCAGCGCACUGAUGUUUUCAACUCGAAGCUAGGUGAUGCUGGCCUUCCUCCCAUGUGGGUGGAGGUUUUUGGCUCAGAGAGAGGUGAUGCCGGCAUUCCUCCCUUCUGGUUAACCCUCAUCGGCAAACAUGCUGGUCAGAUUGUUGACUCAACCAGCGUUAACACCUGACUGAGCCUUGAUAGUAGCCCCCUUCGGCUAAAAGCUAGUCAAGGUUCUUUGUCUUGGCAAAAAAAUAAAAUAAAAAAGUAAAGGUUUAUAAUAAAAAUAAUAAUAAUGAGAUAGCAAUAAGGAUUAAGCAGUCAUAUCCAGAGUAUCUCACAUCGAUCCUUUACUGUCUGUAGCCGCCAUCUGUCGGCACUGUAUACAUAAAUAAAUUUUGUUAUGACAAAGGCAGACCAGUGCGUGGCUAUAUGCCACGGUUUCAUGUGUUACCACACGUCCACACAUUAUAUAUGGACGGAGGAGGACCAUUCAUAACAAAUUGACUAACAGGCAUGGCCAACCACAGCAUCCACCCAGUUGCUGAUCAUUU
Molecule: long non-coding RNA, 817 nt
Filed under: Linum usitatissimum (flax)
Lineage: Eukaryota; Viridiplantae; Streptophyta; Magnoliopsida; Malpighiales; Linaceae
Description: long non-coding RNA (LUSI_LNC005106)
Source: RNAcentral